UUUAUGGAGAGUUUGAUCCUGGCUCAGGAUGAACGCUGGCGGCGUGCCUAAUACAUGCAAGUCGAGCGAACGGACGAGAAGCUUGCUUCUCUGAUGUUAGCGGCGGACGGGUGAGUAACACGUGGAUAACCUACCUAUAAGACUGGGAUAACUUCGGGAAACCGGAGCUAAUACCGGAUAAUAUUUUGAACCGCAUGGUUCAAAAGUGAAAGACGGUCUUGCUGUCACUUAUAGAUGGAUCCGCGCUGCAUUAGCUAGUUGGUAAGGUAACGGCUUACCAAGGCAACGAUGCAUAGCCGACCUGAGAGGGUGAUCGGCCACACUGGAACUGAGACACGGUCCAGACUCCUACGGGAGGCAGCAGUAGGGAAUCUUCCGCAAUGGGCGAAAGCCUGACGGAGCAACGCCGCGUGAGUGAUGAAGGUCUUCGGAUCGUAAAACUCUGUUAUUAGGGAAGAACAUAUGUGUAAGUAACUGUGCACAUCUUGACGGUACCUAAUCAGAAAGCCACGGCUAACUACGUGCCAGCAGCCGCGGUAAUACGUAGGUGGCAAGCGUUAUCCGGAAUUAUUGGGCGUAAAGCGCGCGUAGGCGGUUUUUUAAGUCUGAUGUGAAAGCCCACGGCUCAACCGUGGAGGGUCAUUGGAAACUGG
RNAcentral lists this ribosomal RNA (653 nucleotides) under Staphylococcus aureus. RNAcentral describes it as "bacterial SSU rRNA". It matches the Rfam family "Bacterial small subunit ribosomal RNA", at positions 1 to 636 of the family's 1533-position model. The record is from RNAcentral. Lineage: Bacteria; Bacillati; Bacillota; Bacilli; Caryophanales; Staphylococcaceae.